RNAcentral lists this ribosomal RNA (267 nucleotides) under uncultured bacterium. Its description in RNAcentral is "partial 16S ribosomal RNA". It matches the Rfam family "Bacterial small subunit ribosomal RNA", at positions 91 to 354 of the family's 1533-position model. The record is from RNAcentral.
CGGACUGGCGCACGGGUGAGUAACACGUAUGCAACCUGGCCGUCACAGGUGGAUAACCGGAAGAAAUUCCGACUAAUACAGCAUAACACUCCUGAGGGACAUCCCUUGGGAGUCAAAGGAGGCAACUCCGGUGACGGAUGGGCAUGCGGCGCAUUAGGUAGUUGGUAGGGUAACGGCCUACCAAGCCGACGAUGCGUAGGGGUUCUGAGAGGAAGGCCCCCCACAUUGGAACUGAGACACGGUCCAAACUCCUACGGAAGGCAGCAG